This 456-nucleotide unclassified non-coding RNA is filed under the name Hevea brasiliensis (rubber tree). Lineage: Eukaryota; Viridiplantae; Streptophyta; Magnoliopsida; Malpighiales; Euphorbiaceae. The record is from RNAcentral.
CUCUCUCUUUUUUUAUUUUUAUCAUUUCUGCGUUUUGUUAGAUGGAGAUUGAACCACCUAUAACUCCGUAAAUUACACAAAGGAGCGUUGAUAAGAUGUCGUACUCCAAAAGGUCAAAGGAUGCUUGCUCUCCUUCUCCAUGCAAGCGAUACAGCAGGUCCGUGUCGAGAUCUUUGUCGGUGUCAAGGUCGAGAUCAAGGGAGAGGGACAGGUCAAGGAGCCCCACAAGUGACGUGGAAAACCCUGGUAACAAUUUGUAUGUGACAGGACUGUCACCACGUAUCACCAAGAGAGAUCUUGAGAAGCAUUUUGCCAGUGAGGGAACGGUGAUCGAUGUUCAUCUGGUGGUUGAUCCAUGGACGAGAGAAUCUCGUGGAUUUGGUUUUGUAACAAUGUCCACUGUUGAUGAGGCUGAUAGCUGCAUCAAGUAUUUGAACCACUCUGUUCUUGAAGGCC